CAGCCGCCGCGGUAAUACCGAGGGUGCGAGCGUUAAUCGGAUUUACUGGGCGUAAAGCGUGCGUAGGCGGCUUCUUAAGUCGGAUGUGAAAUCCCUGAGCUUAACUUAGGAAUUGCAUUCGAUACUGGGAAGCUAGAGUAUGGGAGAGGAUGGUAGAAUUCCAGGUGUAGCGGUGAAAUGCGUAGAGAUCUGGAGGAAUACCGAUGGCGAAGGCAGCCAUCUGGCCUAAUACUGACGCUGAGGUACGAAAGCAUGGGGAGCAAACAGGAUUAGAUACCCGCGUAGUCCCUGUCUCUUAUAC
This 301-nucleotide ribosomal RNA is filed under the name uncultured bacterium. Its description in RNAcentral is "partial 16S ribosomal RNA". It matches the Rfam family "Bacterial small subunit ribosomal RNA", at positions 509 to 807 of the family's 1533-position model. The record is from RNAcentral.